Molecule: long non-coding RNA, 3014 nt
Filed under: Mytilus galloprovincialis (Mediterranean mussel)
Lineage: Eukaryota; Metazoa; Mollusca; Bivalvia; Mytilida; Mytilidae
Source: RNAcentral
GUAAUUGCAGUAACUAUCCUUGUAAUAAAAAAUGAAGAGACUAGAUAUUGUAAUAAAACAGAUCUUGUGAUGAUUAUAUAAGAUAUGAGUAUUUUUAGUACAAUAUAACUUCUUGUCAUGUACUUGACAAAUAUGAAAAUAUUUCACAAAUGUAUAAAUAAUAACAUAUAUAUGUAUAAAUACAAUUGAUAUUAUAAUAUGAAUAUUACAUGGUACCAUAUAAGCAAAGGAUUUUACUAACAAGAAAUGAAUUUGUAAAUGUUGAUAAAGCUCUAUUAUGGUGUAAGUAAUUAACUUGAUGUAUAAAAGCAAUGCACUGUUUUUUCAACUUCUGAUUAUGUUUUUAGAGACUUGCUUAGUUAGAAACCUCAAAGGAUAAUAAAAAAAAACUUUUUUACUUACCAAUAUUUACAGAAUAAAAAUAAAUGGUGUGCUAUUUGUCUGUGUGAGUAAAAACUUUUUCUUUGGCCAUAUAUCUAAAAUAUCUAUUCUUUCUACUCUUGAUUAAAGCAGAGUUAAUACUCAACAGACACACAUAGAAAAUGCAAACUUUAAAAAAGAAAAUGGUGCAAUAAUGUUUCUGUUUUAAGUGUGUGGCCUCUCAUAAAAGGGGGGUACAAAAAUGAUCUAAGUGUUACACUAUAGCUAAAAUUGAUCUAAGUGUUACACUAUAGCUCAGAUGAUCUAAGUGUUACACUAUAGCUCAGAUGAUCUAAGUGUUACACUAUACCUCAGAUUAUCUAAGUGUUACACUAUACCUCAGAUGAUCUAAGUGUUACACUAUAGCUCAGAAGAUCUAAGUGUUACACUUUAGCUCAGAUGAUCCAAGUGUUACACUAUAGCUCAGAUGAUCUAAGUGUUACGCUUUAGCUCAGAUGAUCUAAGUGUUACACUAUAGCUCAGAUGAUCUAAGUGUUACACUAUAGCUCAGAUGAUCUAAGUGUUACACUAUAGCUCAGAUGAUCUAAGUGUUACACUUUAGCUCAGAUGAUCUUAGUGUUACACUAUAGCUCAGAUGAUCUAAGUGUUACACUAUAGCUCAUAUGAUCUAAGUGUUACACUAUAGCUAAGAUGAUCUUAGUUGAAAGAAGUUUCAAUGUAAACAGACGUCCAUUUCUUAGGCAAAUAGUCUUUUGAAAUCUUUUUGUGAAAGAUUCUUGUAACAAAUCUAUUUUUACUUUUUAAAGUUUGAUACUCUUCUGUCCAAGUAUAUUACUUUCAUUAUUUUCUAUUGGUAGGUAUGGGAUGUACUAGUAUAUAGAUAGGAGUUUAAGUCAAUACAUCAAACAUUGCCAGCAUGUUGGAGACAGCUUACUGUAACACUUGUUGAGGAUACAGAAAAACAGUCUAAUUUGGGAUAAUAACUCAAGACACAUUCCAGGGUCUACCAUGUGUAUUUUAGUUAUUAUCCUGAGAGUAUAUGUAGCUCUCUGUAUGUAAAAAAACCAAACCCUAACAAUAACUCUAACUGACAAUGCUUAUGUAUAUAGUGCCAAUUAUACAUCUAAUAAAUUGUCAGUCACUUCCUGUUUAAUGGGGGAAAUUACCUCCAAAGAGAGUACUGGGAGAGUACCAUGCAAUCUCCAUAUAUAAUAACAUGAGCAGCAGCUCUUUGGUAAAGGAUCAUUUAUAACAUGUUGAAAGAAUUAAAUAGUAUAAAUUCUAGAUUUCAGUCUGAAAAAUUGAUACUCAUUUUACAUUAGUGCAAUCAAAAAUAAACCUACUGAAAUGUGAGGAAUAUGUAAUGAAAUAGCAACACACUGACACAAAUAUACAAAAGAUAUCUUGUGGUAAACAUAUAUAUUCUUCACUAGCAGACAAGCAUCUAUACAAUAUAUCUAAAUCAGAAGGAGUCACAUGACUUCUAUGAAAUGGAAUAUACUGAGUAUGAUUGAAAUCUUGAAUAGUCUCACAAAUGUUUAUUGAUUUGGUAAUGAAUAACUUAUACAUGUAGUACUUUGGCUGAUGUAAAUUAUUUUCUAAAUGCACUCUUAUCAGCAAGAUGUAGUAUAAAAACGAUAACACAGAAAAAUAGAAAACAUACAAAACAUAAUAAAAGUAAUGAAAACAAAAAAGACAAAUAUCACAGCAUCUAUACACACUGGCAAAAUACCCAAUUAUAAAAAAAACAUGUAAAUUGAACUGCUCUUUACCUCAGAAGUGCCCCUGUAACAAUUAAUAAACACCAUACACUUUACCUCAGAAGUGUCCCUGUAACAAUUAAUAAACACCAUAAACAGUAAAUUGUCACUGAAAUGUAGUAUAACUGAUAUGUCACUUACAUUAUCAGUAAAUACAUUAAAGGCUAUGAAGAGGAAAAAUAGGUUCAAUAUGAAAUAAAUAACUCUCUCUGGGGUACUUUAUAAAUACUAAGGAGACUAAUUAGGUAAAAUAUAAUAUUAUAUAUCUCACCAACAUAAAGAAGUCAGAUCUAGGUAUAUUUAUAUUACUUCUCCAUAAAGUUCUUGUUUAUGAAAUCUUGUUUUACAUCUGAAAUCCUAAUUAAUAUAAUCCCAUCCCCCCUUAACAAAAUAUUCAGCACAUCUUCAUAAGGAGACAAUUAUUACCCUAAAUUCAUGGAAAACUCAAAGUCAGCAGUCUAUAAUGUUUAAAUGAAUUAUAAUUUAGAUACAUGUGUCUGGAAAAAUGAUAAAAAAAAAGGAUGAAGUUAUCUCCCCUUAUAGAAUUAAAUAAAUGAUUAAAUAUAACUGAAGAACAUUGCACUUGUCAUAAACAAUUUAUAGCACCAAAUACAAAGAAAAAAUCAAAACUCACUCAGACAGCUCCAAAAAAAAGGCAAAAACUAUUCAAACAAUUGAAUAUAAGGAUUUUUAUUAAUGAAAAAAAACUUUGGAGUCAUUGACUUCAGCAAUGGCCUGCAGACAAUACAAAUUUGUUCAAACCAGUUAAAUCUGAAUGAUAAUAUCAUGAAAAUAAGCAGAUUUUAAGAGAUCCUAGUAAUUUCAUAGGAUUUGUUUCAACCACAAUUCUAACAGUAUACUGCUCUGCCAGAA